GUCUAGUUUGUGGCAAUGGUAAAUACCUUUUCAUGGUAACAUAUUUGCACAAAUGAGGAAAUUGUGCAAUUAUGAUUAAAAGAUUAUAAAAUUGAUUCCUGUGAGUUAUGUGCAAGCUCACUUCUAAGGAGCUUCACUUCUCUUUGCACCUUUCAUCUAUGAGCUUGACAGACCUGAUUAAAAUACUGUUUCAGCUUGAGUUUCUGCAUCUCCUGAACAACAAAGAUGACCAGAGCUCUGAUUAUCCUUCUGAUUGGGUGUCUGCUGCAAGGUGCCCUGUGUCAGAGAUUUCAGGCCAUUGUUCCAGAGUCAAUAGAUGUCCUGAGUGGAUCCUGUGUGACUAUUCCCUGCUCCUUUGAUAUAGACACCACAUUUAAAGACAAUUUAGAUAGCAGUUGUAAAGCAAUAUGGAGAGAUCAAAACGAUCAAGAUGUGUUUGAUAGUAGUAAACUAACAAGUGAUGGAGAAUUGCAUGGAAGACUGACAGAAAAAAACUGCACCACAACCCUGAAUAACAUUGGUCCUCACAAAGGCAAAAGUUAUUACUUCAGACUGGGAUGUAGUGGAGGGUUAAAA
Long non-coding RNA from Scomber scombrus (Atlantic mackerel), 576 nucleotides. RefSeq lists it as uncharacterized. The record is from RefSeq and is a predicted model, not a curated record. The transcript is spliced from 3 exons. Lineage: Eukaryota; Metazoa; Chordata; Actinopteri; Scombriformes; Scombridae.